AUAUAUAUAUAUGUUGUUUUCUCUGGAUAUAUUGUAAGCCCAUUUUGUCUUUAUAUUCUCAGCUCCUAGUAAAAUAUCUCACAUAUAUAGUGAAUGCUUAUGUAAUGUAUUGUCUCUUUAAGGUUUGUUGUUGAGCUAUGUCAUACAGAGUUCUAAAAAAACAGUUUCUCUAAGAUACAGUUGCUGGGGAUUGAGUCUGACUCAGAGAUCUAUGACAAGCCAUUGUUACUGAGUUUUGAAUGUGACAAGCUGUUAUAUACUGGAAGGGUAUGGCCACUAGUACUGUUGUAUGAUUUUUCAGCAAACAUAAUUUGUCUGAUUUCAGAAGGAAAUGUAAAAUUGAUUAACCACCAUAAGAUAAGAUAUAGUUCUUUGCAGUGAGGAGUCAGAAUCUGAACCCAUAAAAAUAAGAAAAGAGAUAAAAAGACAGAUUUCAGAACUGCAUCAAGUAAACUUAAAAGUUUGAAGGGAUAGAUACUAUAGUUGCUUUUGAGGAGUAAGUUUAGCUGAGCAAAGGAAGAGCUUGGAAGCAGAAAAUCAGAGAAAUUACCCAACAUGUCAAACACAGUGAAGAUUAAGUUAGCUUAGCAGUAGAAUCAUAUAUCUUUAGCACAGAAGGUACAUUCAUCAAGAAUCAUUUAUGGACAGUUCCUGAGACAGAAAAAGGACACUGAACUUUAUGGUUCCAAAGUUGUGGAGCACAUGUUUUCUUCACUCAUGUUCCUUCUUGACAGGUUUCUAUUUGUAGGUGCCUAUUCUCCCCAACUAAUACUGAAUAUAUUAUUAACAAAAUAUAUGACCCAGUGAUUAUGAGUGAAUUGUAAUAUAUUUUUAUUUAUGCAUUUACUUUAAUACAUGAGUAGCUGUGAUAUUUUUUCUUUUUGCUUUAAUACUAAGUUAAUGGUAAAGUUUAAGAUCUAAUGGUCUUAUUUGAGUGGCUGGUUGUAUAAAAAGAAACACACUGGUAAGUGAUCAGAACUACAGUGACAAGUAGGGAGAGUAUAUUCUACUACAAGAGGGUUACCUGUACAACACUAAGAGAAUUUUGACUGAUAUCAUUGGGAGAUAGUUCUUCUUUGGGAAUCAAAUUAUAUUAAUUUGAGGGCAGGAUGGAGUGAAUGGGCCAACCUUGAGAAUGAAUAAGUGUCUAUGAGAUAUGUGAGGACUUAUAAUAUGGGUAGACCACCAUAUAUAAUUAUUAAGUAAAUGCUUGCUGAUUGAUUAAUUGGUAAAUAAUUGUUUCAUAGAAAUUUCAUCUGCCUGAAAUAAUUAAAUAUGGUUCUGGAAGUCAAAAGGACUUUUAGACUAAAUAGCCUUAGAGGGUCUCUAUAACUCCGCCAUUAGAAUCCUAGGAAACAUAUCUGUUCUAAAUCUUCCCCACAUAUCACUUUUAUUUCUUUUAUUGAGUGGCAGCUAGCUAGAUGGCUCCGUGAAUAGAAUGCUAGAUCUAGAAUCAGAAAAACAUGAUUUCAAAUCUUUCCUCAGACAAUUACUAGCCCCUUAACCUUUGUCUGUCUCAGUUACUUCAUCUAUAAAACGAAGAUAAAAAUGGUAUCUGUCUUCUAAAUUUGUUGUGAGGAUACAAUGAGAUAAUAUUUGUAAAAUACUUCACAACUCUUAAAGCAUUAUAUAAAUGCUAUUAUUAUCAGCUCUUAUCAUGCCAUUCACAUGAACAUUCAGUGGCUCCCUAUCUCUCAUCGUAUCAAGUUUAAAUCUUUCUACUUGGCUUUCAAAGUCAUGCCCUCUCUAGUCUCAGCCUACCAAGCCAAGUGCCUCUCAACAUUCAUAUCUACCUUCAGCAAGAAUGAGCUCUAUUUCUAGAACAUACUUUGCUCAUUCCUGCUUUGAUGCUUUUGCUAAUGUUAUUAUCCUUGCCUGGAAACUAGUUCCCUCACCCCCCCUUCUCCUCUGCCUAUGGAAAUCCUAUACAGUUGAAUGCCAUAUAGGCAGUAUAAUUUUAUAAUUAAUGUGGAGCUUUCCCUUUUCUGAACUUCCAAUGUCCUUGUAAUCAAUGCCUGUUGUUCUUGUUGUUGAGCCAUGAAAACACAACCUAAAUGACUUGCUGAGGUUUACAUAGCUAGUAAGUUUUUGAGACCAAAUUUGAACUCAGGUCUUCUUGAUUCCAAGACUGCAUCCACUGCAUUACCUAGUUGCCUUGUAGUCACUACUAUGUAGCUUAAAUGCUCUUUCAUAUGUUUUAUUUGCUUCCCCAACUAGAUUAUAAGCUCCUUGAGUGCUAGGGCUACCUGAAUCUCAGUUGCUUCACCUGUAAAAUGAGGGUGUUAGACCAUAACCUCUAACCUUUUCUAGCUGCACAAUUUUAUAAAUAUGUAACAUUUUCUAAAUUGUUGUGAAAAGUGCCCUAUUCUUGAUCUAAUGAUCUAGAGUCUACAAUCCACUCAAAUUGUCCUCCUUGUUAUACAUGAUGUUCCAAAAUGUAAAUCUCUGUACCUUCAAACAAGCUGCUGCUCAUGUCUGGAAUGAAAUCCUUCUUUACCUCUAUUCUCUUAAAAUCUCUAUUUUCCUUUUAAGGUCAGCUCAGACACCACCUCCUAAACAGAGGUCUUCUAGAACUCUCAGCUACUGGUGUUCCCUUCCACCUCCAAAUUCCUAAUUUGUUUUAAAUAUACACAUAUGUACACAUACACACUCUAUAUACUUACAUAGGAUGUAAGCUACUUAAAGGUAGAAGUUGUUUCUUUUUUAAAACCUGUUUUCUCAGUGCCUAGCAGAGUGCUUGGCAGAUAAUGGGUAUUAAUUAUGGUCUUAAUUUAAAAAUAAUAACUUUUUAUUUUCAAAAUAUAUGCAAAGAUAGUUUUCAAUCUUCACCCUUGCAAAACCUUGUGUUCCAAUUUUUUCUCUUUCUCUUCCCCAACCCCCUCCUCUAGAUAACAAGUAAUCCAAUAAAUAUGUGCAAUUCUACACAUUUCCACAGAUAAUGGGCAAUUAAUAAAUGAUUAACUGAUAAUUGCAGCUUGGGCAGAUCUCUUUCCCUCUUUGGUCCUCAGAUUCAUCUUUAGUAAAAUGGUGCUCUUUAGCAUCUUCUCCAGUUUUAAGGAACUAUGAUUCUUUGAGAAGUACUACAGCAAGAAGAAUGUGGUACUAACCUUUCUGCUCCAGACCUCUCUCUGCCUUUCUUCACCCACAAAAAUGGCCUCUAAAGAACCUUAUAACUCAAAAUAUUGCACAACAAUGUUAGUUCAUAUCUGUUAGGUUUUAUGUUAUGGUCUUAAUACCUUCAUUUUCAAUUCAACAAAUAUAAUUAUGUUCAAGACAUAGUGCUGGUCACACAGAAUACAAAGAAUGAAAAAUGAUAGGAUCUUUGUUCUCAAAGAACAGAGGGAACAUAAUGAACACAUAUAAGUAUAAUGAGUAGAAUGAAAGUAGGGUCAGGGUAUGCUGGUGCCAUCUCAAACUGGCUUAUUAAGAACCAAUUGCUAAAUUUUCAGGGUAAGCAUUUACAUUUUGGAAAUCAGAAAAAAUUACAAAUCAGGACUUCAUUUAUGUUUGGUUGAUUGUCUAGACUUAAAGUGAUGGUGAAAACAUUUAUAAUUUGUCUGAUUAAACUAAAAAGUGUAUUGUGUAUUUUUGGAAAGCUGGUGUUAAAACAUUUACCAGGACAUCUCUGGGAAAAUAUAAUAGAAGCAAAAAAGAGAGCCAAACAAAAUUUAAGCAUUAAUUUGAGAAAAAGAAUAUAGUUUCAGUGGAGAAGUGGCACCUGAGCUAGCCUUGAAAAAAAGGGUUUCAAUGGGUAAAAAAAGAUAUUCCAGGAACAGGAGAAGAUCUAUAUAAAUUCAUAGUGGCAAGAGAAAAUUGGAGACCCAGUUUAGUUUAGCUGGAACAUAGAACAUGAGAAUGUAGGAAAGAAACUACUAUGUUCCAGGUACUGUGCUAAGCACUUUACAAACAUCAUCUCAUUUCAUCCUCAUAACAAUCCUGGGAGCUAUUAUAAUCUCAUUUGAAAUUGAGGUAAAGUUUAAAUGACUUGUCUAGGAUUACAAAGAUUGUAGGUGUCUGUAGGCAGCUAGGUGAUACAGUUGAUAGAAUACAAGGCCUGGAAUCAGGAAGAAUCCUCUCGCUAAGUUCAAAUCCAGUCUCAGAUAGUUUCUAGCUAUGUGAUCUUGGACAAGUCAGCCCUAUUUGCCUCAGUUUCCUCAUCUGUCAAAUAAGCUGGCGAAGAAAAUGGCAAGCUACUCCAGUAUUUUUGCCAAGAAAACUCCAAAUGGGAUCACAAAGAUGUGACUGAAACAAUUGAACAUUAAUAACAAAAGUGUCUGAGGCUGAAUUGAAUUCAGGACUUUCUGACUCUAGGUCCAGCAUUCUGUUCACUGUACCACUUAGGUGAGAAAAGUUAAAAAGGGAGAAUUGGAGUCAUGUUGUGCCACAACAUGGCCAGGCCAAGGCAUGUAUAUUAUAUUUUAUGGGCAAUAGGAAGCUCCUAUUUUUGUCAUCUUGGUAGCUAUGUGAAAGACUGACUUUGAAAGAAGUCACAAUGAAAGAAAGACACAAGGGAGGCCUGGAAGUAGAGAGGCCCCUCAGGAGGUUGUUACAAUGGCCAAGGCAAGAGGAUGAGGCUCUAAAGGAGGGUGGUGGCAAUUUGAAGGGAGAAAAAGGGAGCACAUGUUAGAGGUGAGAUAGAUGCAAGGCAUAUAGAAUUUAUAGGUCUUGGCAGUUAGCUAGGUAUGGGGGAUCAGUAAGAGGAAGAAUCAAAGAUGAUGUUGAGGUUUUGAGCCUGGGCCAUUGGGGAGGAAAAGUGGUACCUACACUAGAAACAGCCAAGUUUGGAGCACAGGGAGAUGUAGGGGAAAGCGGAUGAGUUCUGCCUUGGACAUUCUGAGUUUGCUGUGCUGGUGAAACGCCAAGGUCGAGGUGUCCAAGAGACAUUCGGAGGUGGAGACCUUUCAGGAGAAAGAUUGGAACCAGAUUUCCAGAAAUGGGAAUCAGCUGCAGCGCGGUGAUUACUGAACCUGUGGGAACAGAGGAGAUCACUGAGCCUGCAGAGAGAAAGGAGGGCCCAGGGUGGAGCCAAGGGGUGACUCUGAAGGAGCUACACAAGCAGGAGGCCCAUUCAGAGAGAGCUCUGUGUGCCAACCCCUGGAGGAGAGAAUUUAGAGGGGGCAGGAUGUUUGACAGCAUCAGACAGUAGAGAAAAGCCAAAAGAACAUCAGAAUCCUUCAUAUGUGAGGAUUGUGGGAUCCUACAAUUACAGGGUCAGGGCUAGAAGAGGCUUUAGAGCUGGGUAGAGCCUAGAAGACCCGAGUUCAAACCUUGCCUCUAUAUGACCUGGGUAAGUCACUUAAUCUCCAUCUGCCUUAGUUUCACCAUGUGAAAAAAUGGGGAUAAUAAAAGUACCUACCUGUUGGGAGGAUCAAAUGAAAUAACAGUUACUUGUUAAGCAGCAUAUAAGUGUCUGUUACAGACAGCAGAGGAGAAGCCAAGCUCCAGGGUGACCCAGGGGCCGAGCUGGGACUGGGACACACACUCCCUGCCUCUGAUACCAGCCGAUGGCUGUGCUUUGGGAUGGAGGUUUCUGAGAGCCCUACACACAGCUCCUCUUUUGCCCUCCGAGGAAGAAUAGCAUAGAACCUUGCUGCCAUAGAGGGCCCGCCUCUUCAGCCAGGUAUGAGGCUUUGUCAGAACUCCCCGAGGGAAGAGGAGGAGAGAAGAGGAAACCUGUGGUGGUGGUCAGAUCAGGCUCACCAGCUCCCCACAAAGCCUGGUGACUCAUGGGUUGCCUACGUCACAGUUAGAUAAUGGCUCCCACCCUAAAAAUAGAUUGCAUCGCAUCACCCACACUCUUGGGCCUGGCUCCUCCCUUCUGGCCUGUGACUACCGGAGAGGGGUCUACUUCAGAGCCCCUGGACCCUCCAGGAACAUACCUGGGACCUUGGACCCUUUCACUGGUUCAGCUCAUCUUGCUAUUGAUUGUGAUUUUUAGAACAGUCACCACUGAAGAGAUGUUUAGUUCUUUAAAAGCAGUUUUCAUUAUCUUUUAUGGAUCUCACAGUGGGAAAAAGGAGGGAGAAAAGAAAGACAAGAGAUGAGAUGUUUCCCCCUUGACCAUAUUGCUUUGUUCAAGUAUAAAUAUUCACAAUCAAGUCUCAAGAAGCCAGCAUGAGUUGGUUCCAGAAUACCUUUGGUUGGAAGGGACAUCAGGAGGCCAUCUAGUUGAAUCCAUAGGCAAAAGAAAUUCCCUACUAUAAAAUGCCAAUCUAGCCUUUGCUUGAAGACCUCCAAUAAAGCCAAAUUCAUCACCCCCAAGGCAAAUAAUUCUAUUUUUGUACAACCUUAAUUAUUAGGAAGUUUCACUGGCUACCAAGUCUAAAUAUGUUUGUUUUCAAUGUUUGUCCAAUACUCUUUAAGUUUUCUGGGGCCAAACAAAAUAAUUCUCUUCCUUUUUUUCCCCCACAUGAUAGGCCUCAAAUACUUUAUCAUAGCUAUCAUGAUACCCUCUGAAUCUUAUCUUAUGAUUAGAUAUCACAAGUUCUGUUAACUGAUCCCCAUAUGCUAAGUAUUUAAGGUCCUUCACCACUCUGAUUGCCCUUCUUUGGACACUCUCCAAAUUUCAGUGCUUUUUAAAAAUUGUGAUACUCAGAACUGAACACAAUACAUGUGGCCUGACAGAGUACAGUGGGACUAUCACUUUCUUAUUUCUGAAAGCUAUGUCUCUCUUAAUGCAGGCCAAGAUUCCAUUUUUUUUUUUUUUUUUAGCUUUUGACAUCACACUGCUGACUGAUGUUGAGCUUGCAAUCCGCUAAAAAGAAACCUGGAUCUUUUUCAGACAACUUGAUGUCCAAUCAUUUCCCUUAUUCUGAACUUGUGAAGUUGAUUUUUUGUACCCAAGUGUCAAACUUUACAUUUAUGCCUACUAAAUUUUAUAUUGUUUGAUUUAGCCCAAUACUCUAGGUCAACAUCUUUUUGGAUCCUGACUCUACCAUUCAGUGUAUUAGCUGUCCUUUCUAGCUUUGUGUCAUUUGAAAAUUUGAUGAACAUUUCAUCUAUACUUUUAUUCAAAAUCUGAUAAAAAAUAUUAAAUAGGGCUGAAAACAAUUCCUCUGGUACUUCAUUGAAGACCUCUAGCCAACUUAACAUUGAACCAUUAAUGACUAUUCCUUGAAGCCAGCUAAUCAAUCAGUUCUAAAUUAACUUAAUUAUAUUACCUAUUCCGUAUCUUUCCAUCUUUUCUAUAGAUACAUUUUGUCAAAUCAUUUGAUAAAAUCUAAGCAAACUAUAUCUCUAGCAUUCCUCUAAUGUACUAAAUUUAAUAAUCUUGUCAAAAAAAAUAAAGGUAGUUUGACUAUUCAUUAUCGCUUUAAUGAUCUAUUCUAGAAUUUUCCCAGGAAUUUGCAAGUCAAGCUCAGGGAACAUCCAGAGGAAAUAAUUCUAUUUCCUUUUGUGAAAAUUGGGACAUUUGCCUUUCUUCAGUUCAGCCCAACCUUUCUCAUUUUCUACAAUCUUUUAAAUAUCACUAAUAGACUUCUCUCAUAUUUCUCACAAUUCUCUUUUUCUCCAGGCUAAAUAUUCCCAAUUCCUUUAACUGUUUCUCUAUUUCUACAGUGUCAUAAUUAUCAUUGCCAUGAUAAUCACCAUUAUGUAGUGAGGCUGUAGAUUUUGGGGGUCCUUAUAACCAAAAUUUCUAUUCCCACUGGUAAACUGGGUUCUCAAAGGGAAGAUAGCUACACCCAUCCCUCUGUGUACCAAGGAGUUGGAAUAUAUUUCUAAUGCUACUAACUCAAGUCCUCAUUUCAGUGUGUUCACUCUGCCCCCAUCCCAGUGCAUGGCCAUCAAUUUAUCUAGUUAACUGGUGUUUUAGCUUUUUAUAAAGGAUUGAAAAGCUAUAGUAAGAAUAGAAGUACAAGCACAACCCUCUCUUGCUAUUCAAGGCACACUCUACUCUCAAUGACUUUGUUCCCCAGGGAGAGUGAGCUUAAAUUUGAACAGGUUGUUGUAAACCAUUCAGCCUACCAACUUUAUAUAUUCAACUUCUUCUUGAAUCUUCUCUUCUCCAAGUUAUAUGUCAACAAUUCACUUAUGACAUGAACUCAAAACCAUUCACUAUUCUGGAUAAUAAUAAUAUGUACUAGUAUUUGCAUCAUACACCUCUUUGGCAAUAUGGUAAAACCUAUUGACCCCAUCUCAGAAAUUUUUUUUAAAUUCAUAAUUAAAGGAAAUGCUAAAUAUUAGAGGUUAGCAAAAAUAAAGAUGUAUUUUUUCCUCAAAUAAGUUUAUGGAUCACUUGAAAUCUACCCACAAACUACUAAGGUCAAGAACCAGCUUAAGAACACUUAUAUUAGUUUUAGUUUUAUUUUGUUUUGUUUUGUUUUGUUUUGUUUUGUUUUGUUUUUCAAUUGCCAAGAUCACACUGCUGAUCUAUAGUGGACUCCCAGUACACUGGAAUCCAAAUAUUUUUCAGAACAAUUGCUCUCUAACCAUGCUUUCUCCAUCUUACAUUUGUGAAGUUAAUUUUUGUCCCAAGAUCAAGAUUUUACAUUUAUUCAUAUUUAGUAUUCCUCUUCUUAGAUUCAGUCUACUGUUCAAUCCUAUCAAGAUACCUUUGGAUGCUGACUUUUCCAUCUACUGUGUUAGCGCUCUCUCUCUCUCUCUCUCUCUCUCUCUCUCUCUCAUCUUGGAAACAUAUAGCAUCUAUGCCUUAAUCCAGGUCAUUAGCAAAAAUGUUAAAUAGCUUAGGGCUAAAUAGCUUAGGGCUAAGUACCGAUCCCUGGAAAAUUCUGCUAAAAACUUCUUGCCACACUGACAUAGAACCAUCAAUAACUACUCUUUGAUUUCAGCCAUCCAACCAGUUUUGAAUCCAUCUAAUUAUAUUAUUGUCUAAUUCAUCUCUCUCCAGAUUUUCUAUGAGAAUAGCAUGAAGAACUUUCUCAAAGACUUGCCAAAUAUAAUAAAGGCCCAAUUAGUCAAUGAGAGCCCAAUUCUUAUGGAAAUCAGGACAACACUGGCCUUUCUCCAGUCUUGUACCUUUACUAUAAUUUUCCAUGAUUUUUCAAAUAUCAUUUGCAACAGCACAUCUGCUAGUUCUUUCAGGAGCUGAGGAUAUAGUUCACCUGGACUGGGUGACUUAAAUUCAUCAAGGGCAGCCAGCUGCUCUCUUCUUAGCUCUUUGUUUUGGGUACCAACUUCCCAUUAGUAAUUUGUGUCAUCAUUUCCAUGGUAAAGGUCAUUUUAUUUUGUAGAAAAAACAGAAACAAAUAAUAACUGAGCAGCUCUGACUUCUCUCCAUUAUCAGUUAUAAUUAUCCCAUCCACCCCAAGCAAAAGCUCUGUACAAUUUUUGAUCCUCCUUCUCCCCAAUAUAACAAAAACAAAACGAGACAAAUACAUAACAAAACAAAAUCAUCAAAUUACAAAAGCACCUUUUGUUUUCCUUCAUUUUUCUCACCAAUUCUAGUUCAUCCUGAAUUUAGCAUUCCUCAGACUAUUUUUACAGGAUCAUGCCAUGCUCUUAUAUUCAUCUUCUGUUACUUGGCUGUGCUUUUUUUUUUCUUCUAUACGAUUCUUUAAAAAAUCUAAAUGGUGAUGUUCUUGUAUCUCUCUAGAUAAAUCCCAGUUUUCCUCUUCAUGAGAAUUGUUUCUCUUUAUGUUUUCCACAUCUCUCAUCCCCUGAAGGAGAAUUCUAUCUUUUCUCUGAACACUCUGAAGUCUGCUCUCCCCAAAAUCUAAGGUGAAUGGAUGAUUAUGUUAAGAUUUUACCUACUUCCUCAUCAUAAACUCUAGAAUGGAUUGGUCACUUCAUCUCCAUGUUCCCAUUAUUUCUACCUCAGUAACCAGUUUUUUUUUCUGUUUGUGAGAUCAGAUAGAGAAUAGUGUUUGCCCCUUGUUAGUUCCUCCCCUUUGGGAGAUAUAAAAUUAUCAUUAAGGAAAGUAAGGAAAUCAUUAGUGCUCUGGUUUGGGAAGAGAGAGCUCCAGUAUGUUUCUAGAUAAUUGAAACCCCUUAUCACUCUUAUACUGUACUGGAUCUGUGAUCUGUUUCUCAAACUUCCCAUCUAUUUCCUGUUUCUUCCAGAUGGUUUUUAGUAUAUUCCAAUGACAAAAUCAUUUCUGUUCUCCUCCUUUGACCUUCACCCAAAUACUCUUUGUCAUGCUUUCCCACUUUGAUUCCCGGGAUUUCCUCAGCUGAAUAUAUUGUCCUAAUAAAGAGCAUUACUCCCACCCUCCAUCCCCAAUUACCUAUCCUACCUCUUUUGAAUAAACUAUACCUUUCUAGGACCACAGUUUUGUCAUGGGUUUUAUCCUACCAAGUCUCACUGAAAUCUAUGAAGUCUGAUUGCUUCCUUUAGUUCCUAUUUUUUGGUUGUUGCUUAAACUUUGGACAUUUAUGUAUGUAUUUGAGGCUAUGGGUUUUAUUACUAGCUCCUUUCUUGGGUUUUUAUAUUCUGUGAGUUUAUAUAUAGGUAUCCCACUUGCUUUUUUUUUUCUUCUUUGUAGAGUAGUAGUCUCUAUGGUAUAUAUAGAGUAGUCUUUAUGGUAUCUAACCUGGGGGAUAUACAUAUAUACUCAUACACACACACAUAUAUGUGAAUAUAUAUUUGUGUAUACAUACACACACACAGAGGAAAAGCAACAGAGACAGCCAGAGAGAGACAGAGAAAGAUACACACACACACAUAUACACACACAGAGACAGAGAGACAGAGAAAGAAAGUCAGAGACAAAGGAAGACAGAAAGGCAGUAAAUCAGACUUGGACAGACAGAGAGAAGCAGCCCUUUCCAAAUCUUGUUACUUUAAAGGCUUUUGAUUAAAUUCCCAAGACACCUUACAAAUAUAUUCUUAUCAGUCUUUGUUAGGUAAAACUGUCUCUGGCCAGAAAUCUGCCAUUUUAAGCCAUGAUCCAAUAUUCUGAAUCCUAUUCUCAGACACCACCUUCCUAGCCAGCUGUUCACUUCCCAAAUUACUUUUUCUCUUCUGCAUCCCUUCUCUUCAAUGAGCAAAAAUGGGGAAAACACAACCUGUGCCCUUAUGGUCUUUGGUUUCUUGCCCAAGACUUUGUAAUCAUUGGCAAUACUUUCUAGAUUCCUUCUGGAAGAGCCAUUUGUGCCCAUGUGAAUUACCAAAAGUAGGGAGUCAUCAUUCAUCUUUGGAGAUUCCCUAUUAUACCUUGGAUACACUCCCUAGGAAAACAAUGGACCCCUCUCUCAUUAUUAGGUCAGUAAAUAGCUGCCUGGUACAUCACCAACUACUACUUUCCUCUUCUUCCUCUGAUCCUUACUAGCUAAUCUCUCAUCUCAUGGUUUCUGUGAUUCUUCUAUAUCAUUCUCAGGGGGAACAACCAGCUUCUUCCUCCAUAGAGCAUCCAGCUCUCUCCUAAAGAGGAAUCUGUUUUUAAGCCCUUUUGUACAGAUGUCCUUCUCAUUCUCUUUCUCCUUUUUAUAACACUCAUUUUUUCAUUCUCCAUCAUUUUGCAGCAUAGAACAGUAUUUGGAUUGAAAGGAUGUGAGACUAAAUCCUUGGCUGUACUACUCACUACCUCAUAUGAACUUGAACAAAUUAUUCAACCUCUCUGAUGGUCAAACCUCCUUUUUGCCCCUCAGAAUCCAUUCCCUUUCUCACCCCCCCCCCCCACCAUUAAAGCUUGUUUCUGUUUCCUCCCUAACAACCUAGAGAAGGAGAAACAUUCUUCUAAUCCUUUCACCUCUUCUAAGAGGGAGACAAACUUAUAUCUGUAUAGUCCUCAGUCUCUCCUCUCACCUUUCUCCUUAAGGUUUCCUGUAUCUACAGUGUCAACUCCUUAUUAGUGACGCAGAUAAGUCACUCAUUUAUAGCAGAAACACAAACAUCAAUACUUGGUCUCAGACAGAGGCUUCUAGAAUUUGCACUUGUCUAAUCUAGUUUUUUUUUUUUUUUUUUUUUUGGAAAUCCAUGGUCACCUGCACUUCAUGUAUAAUUAACUAUUUUACAAGUGAGGAAACUAAGGUUCAGAAAGUUAAUGAUUUUCCAUGGUCACAAAACUAAUAAAUAGCAAA
This is a long non-coding RNA of Antechinus flavipes (yellow-footed antechinus), 11979 nucleotides long. RefSeq lists it as uncharacterized. The record is from RefSeq and is a predicted model, not a curated record. Lineage: Eukaryota; Metazoa; Chordata; Mammalia; Dasyuromorphia; Dasyuridae. The transcript has 2 exons.